RNAcentral lists this unclassified non-coding RNA (1059 nucleotides) under Ooceraea biroi (clonal raider ant). RNAcentral's name for it is "selenoprotein M, transcript variant X1". The record is from RNAcentral. Lineage: Eukaryota; Metazoa; Arthropoda; Insecta; Hymenoptera; Formicidae.
UUUUCAUUUUCCAUCCUAGGGGAAAAGUUACGUGAUAGAUGCCCCGAUAAUAAGCGCAAUUUUCACGAGAAAAAAAGCAAAGCGAUCUAGUUAGUCGGAAGCGGCGGUUUCCGCUUCCUACGCCGAAAUCGAGUGUCGAACAUGGCGUCUACUGCGGCUGUCAGCUAUCUUCUCGCGAUCGCGCUCGCGCUUACCAUCGCUCUCGCUCCUCUCGCGAGUUUUGCGAGUCCUUACUAUGCAUCCGCGAGAGUCGAGAGCUGCAAGGGUUGCUCGCUUAACCGGCUGCCAGACGUCAAACAGUUCAUAUUCGAGGACUUGCCGCAAUACGACAACGUUGAAUUUAAACAUAUCCAAGGUGCAGUACCAGAACUCGUGCUGUUUAAUGACCAUGAAGAGGAAAUCGAGCGACUGGUGCUCUCUAGCUUGACUCGGCAAGAGUGCAACGAGCUGCUAGUCUCCAAAGGCUUCAGCAAAAAGUCCAAAGACAAUAAAGACGAGAUGUAGAUCCACCAAUGGUUCGGUCACGCUCGUCCUAAGGAACAAAUUAACCUGGUCGCAACUGGUCACAAAUAAUAAUUGUUAGGGAGGGGACUUAUUCCUCUGAAGAGUCGUUCUCGAUCGUAAAAAUCGUAAACGCACACGUUGUGGAUAUCCAAAGCGCAGAAGUCACGUCCGACAGUAUUUCCAAUGUAAACUGCACGCGUCGCACGAAGUAACGAUCGUUUUCAGGAUACUUCUAUUACGCACAAGUUAUUCUCUUUCGUCGAUUGCUAUUAUUUCUUUGAUGCAAUUGGUGAGGAGAGAAGCUGCAUACCUCCCCCCCCCCGUGAGCUGCAAUCUGUGAUAACGACACUAGAUCGACGGUACGAUGGAUUUUUACGUUACAGCAUGUAAUCCGUUGCUUCUAAUUCUUUAAUUCUCCCGCGCGCGACAGAGUUUCGUCGUAUCAAAACAAGAUCAAAAUAAUUGUAUGAACUUACGAAUGUGUACUACCAGAUGUACCAUUACAGUUAAUAAUGUUAGAUUAAAUGCAUAAUAUAUUAAAUAACUUUAAGGAGA